RNAcentral lists this ribosomal RNA (482 nucleotides) under uncultured bacterium. Its description in RNAcentral is "partial 16S ribosomal RNA". It matches the Rfam family "Bacterial small subunit ribosomal RNA", at positions 29 to 507 of the family's 1533-position model. The record is from RNAcentral.
AUUGAACGCUGGCGGCAUGCUUUACACAUGCAAGUCAAACGGUAACAGGCCGCAAGGUGCUGACGAGUGGCGCACGGGUGAGUAAUGCAUCGGAACGUGCCCAGUCGUGGGGGAUAACUACUCGAAAGAGUAGCUAAUACCGCAUACGAUCUAUGGAUGACAGCGGGGGACCGUAAGGCCUAGCGCGAUUGGAGCGGCCGAUGUCGGAUUAGGUAGUUGGUGGGGUAAUGGCUCACCAAGCCAAAGAGCUGUAGCUGGUCUGAGAGGACGACCAGCCACAUUGGGGCUGAGACACGGCCCAGACGCCUACGGGAGGCAGCAGUGGGGAAUGGUGGACAAUGGGCGCAAGCCUGAUCCAGCGAUGCCGCGUGCAGGGAGGAGGCCUUGGGGUUGGAAACUGGGUUUGUACGGAGCGAAACGGCUCUGGUUAAUACCCGGGGCUAAUGACGGUACCGGAAGAAUAAGCACCGGCUAACUACGUG